Molecule: long non-coding RNA, 1886 nt
Organism: Apis dorsata (giant honeybee)
Lineage: Eukaryota; Metazoa; Arthropoda; Insecta; Hymenoptera; Apidae
Exons: 5
Source: RefSeq, a predicted model, not a curated record
CUAUAUAACAAAAAAUUAAAUAUAAAUGAUACUUUUUAAUCUUAUCUUUAUAGAUCUCGAUGAAAUGGCUUCUUGAUUGAAUUCUCGUUUGCCUGCCUCUCGUUCUUCGGUCAACUCGAUUUGAUCGGCUGUUAUCAGUAAAACAUUAAACGGACAAAGAACAGAACAUGGCUACAGACUAUAGAUCAGAUCGUUCUCGAUGAUCAGGGUACAUGGAGAUUCCUCGGAUAUAUCUGCGUCGCUGAAAAAGGGCGUCAUGCAUGGCUCGCACUAGGGUGUCAUCUGCACCCUCUAUAACAUGAGCAGUUCUGUAGAUGAUCUUCACGGUCAAUAUAACGGAUGUCGUAAAAUCAAUUAGUGGCGAAUUGUGCCGCAGCCCGGAUCGUAUGCAUUGUAUAUGCAGCUCAUAAAAUUUCUUUUUUUUUUUUGUGAUCUUUUUGAAUUACUCUAUGUUCCUCGCAUCGGUUCCAAUCGAUAAUCAUUUCUUAUCAAAGUACAAUUUUAAAAUUUAUCUACAAUAUUAUACUUUGUUAAAUUUCUCAUUUGCAAUAGAAAUAUAAUAUUGGUAUGUUAUAGAUUAUAUUUCUGUAAGUCGCUUUUAUAUCAUUCCGACAAUAGCUUAGUUAAUAUUGACUUUUGAAUGGUCCAAUCUUAGGAAAAGCCUUUUAGCGUGUUUCAGCAUGCAGUAAAUAUUAUUAGGAAACCAUCCCCGCAUAGUAAGACUCCAACGACAUCCUGACAAAUCUUUGGGGUCGUAACCGAUUGAAAGAAUUUUCCGUGACGACUCGUUCAUUGUGCGUGUUUACUAGCUAAGCGAUUUUCUCGUUGUAGAAAGGUCGAAAUAUCUCUCAGAAAUACAAUAGAAAACUUGUAACAAAAAUCAUAGAAGCAAACAUUUUAAAGGGAAAUUUAUGUUAUUCACGGAUAACAACGAUUCAGAUCUCAGUAAAUUGUACAAGUUUUUAUCAUUCCAGAGACGUAUAUCUAUGAAAAAGAGAAAUAGUCCACAUAAAACUUUAACGUCCUUUGUGCGAACGUCACCCGUUACAACGCAACGUUGCUUUGGCUAAGAGCCGGUUAUCUUGAUACUAUUUCACUAAUCUGUGACGGUUAAUCCAAAACAUGGGAGGAAGAAACCGAAGGGAAGACGCACAUAUGAAAUUCAUCCUUCUUCAGCAAAGUUCGAGGAGUGAAAGAAAAGGCUCUCCUUGUGGCUACAACUCACAACUUACAAUUCGGUGGCUACGAAACGGCUACACCCUUUCAUGAACGCGCGGUUCAACCACUCGUGACCCGACCAACUUCGCCCCAAGUGGUAAGGAACAAUCACUGUAUGAAAGUCGAGUCAAUGCUAUAACAACGAGACGAUCCGCAAAUAAAGAGGAUCUGCAGGAAAUCUGCAAACACGAGCGAAGCAAACGGGCCGGUCCAUUAAUAUUCCCUCGUAGGAUCCGAAUAAGGAACGCGCAGUGGACUGAGAGGCUCCCCGACCGAAGCUAUAAAAAUUAAUUAGCUCUUAGAAGAAGAGACUGGCUUCUAUACCCAUGACUCGUUCACCAAAACUGUGAGACCAUCCUCCGUAGGAAACGACCUUACUUCGUUAUUUGAAGGAUCAAAGCUGGCACGGUUCCUGUCAUAGAUCCUCGAUGAAUGAUCGAUACGAUAUCCCUUGAACGUGGUUCGAUCCAGACCCUUUUCCCUACGUCGUUGUUACAAGGUAUAAUUAGUCAUUGAUUCCUCGGUUCGUGGAAUGAUGGGCAAUGAUCACACGAUUCGAUCUUGGAACAUUUUGUCAGGAUUAUUUUUUAGUCGUUCCAGAUCGUGCCUAAUAGAUGAUUCAUUGUGGCUUCGAAUUUUGAAAGAAAUAAUCUAACAUCUUCUUUUAU